This 29-nucleotide non-coding RNA is filed under the name Rattus norvegicus (Norway rat). The record is from RNAcentral. Lineage: Eukaryota; Metazoa; Chordata; Mammalia; Rodentia; Muridae.
UAUAUCACCAAGUGUGGUCCAAACUGAGC